Molecule: ribosomal RNA, 430 nt
Filed under: Bacteroidota bacterium
Lineage: Bacteria; Pseudomonadati; Bacteroidota
Description: Bacteroidetes bacterium partial 16S ribosomal RNA
Rfam family: Bacterial small subunit ribosomal RNA
Source: RNAcentral
UAGGGAAUCUUCGGCAAUGGGGGGAACCCUGACCGAGCAACGCCGCGUGAGUGAAGAAGGUUUUCGGAUCGUAAAGCUCUGUUGUUAAGGAAGAACGAGUGUGAGAAUGGAAAGUUCAUACUGUGACGGUACUUAACCAGAAAGGGACGGCUAACUACGUGCCAGCAGCCGCGGUAAUACGUAGGUCCCGAGCGUUGUCCGGAUUUAUUGGGCGUAAAGCGAGCGCAGGCGGUCAAUUAAGUCUGAUGUGAAAGCCCCCGGCUCAACCGGGGAGGGUCAUUGGAAACUGGUUGACUUGAGUGCAGAAGAGGAGAGUGGAAUUCCAUGUGUAGCUGUGAAAUGCGUAGAUAUAUGGAGGAACACCGGUGGCGAAAGCGGCUCUCUGGUCUGUAGCUGACGCUGAGGCUCGAAAGCGUGGGGAGCGAACAGG